Molecule: ribosomal RNA, 254 nt
Filed under: uncultured bacterium
Lineage: Bacteria
Description: partial 16S ribosomal RNA
Rfam family: Bacterial small subunit ribosomal RNA
Source: RNAcentral
GACGUAGGGCGCGAGCGUUGUCCGGAUUUAUUGGGCGUAAAGAGCUCGUAGGCGGUGUGUCGCGUCGGCCGUGAAAACCUGCAGCUUAACUGUGGGCUUGCGGUCGAUACGGGCAUCACUGGAGUUCGGCAGGGGAGACUGGAAUUCCUGGUGUAGCGGUGAAAUGCGCAGAUAUCAGGAGGAACACCGGUGGCGAAGGCGGAUCUCUGGGCCAUUACUGACGCUGAGGAGCGAAAGCGUGGGGAGCGAACAGG